Molecule: long non-coding RNA, 669 nt
Organism: Mus musculus (house mouse)
Lineage: Eukaryota; Metazoa; Chordata; Mammalia; Rodentia; Muridae
Product: predicted gene, 42340
Exons: 4
Source: RefSeq, a predicted model, not a curated record
AGAACUUUUAACAGGACAAGCUGGAGGCUUCGGACAAAGAGAAAGGAUCUAGGAGAGGCUCGGGGAAGGGGCCAAAGAGACCAGCCCAGUCGAUGGGUUCUCUACAGGCAUGAACAUCCGGGAUCCCUGCCUGGUAUCUGUCCUCAUGAGUUCUGCUAUGUGUCUGUGGCUCUCGGGAUAUAAUGACACACUGGCCAGGCUGUGCACUUAACAGCCAUGGACAGGGGUGUUUAUAUCAGAAUCUGUGCUGAUCUUAAGCUGGUUGUUUAGGAGAGGACGACUUUAAACUUGCCUCCUUCUCGCAAGUACUGGAACAACAGAUGUGCAUCACCAUGUCAGCGAACACCAAGCUUAUGAUACAGCUUCCUGGAAGUACCUCACGUGGGAAGCAAGGAAGCAGCAGAUGAAGAGCUGGGUACAUGACCACCAGUAUCUGCUUUGGUGCAAACUCAAUUCCCAGCUGGUGAGUGAGCCUCAAGGAUCCUCUUGUCUCUACAUCGUCAACGUUAAGCUUACAGACUUGAGACAUCACAACUGUCAUUUGACGUGGGGUUCUCAACUCAGGUCUUCAGGACAGCAGGGCAAGCACAUUACAGACUGAGCCAUCUCCCCAGCCCAGGGUACCUGUUCUUAACAUCCCUCCAGGCUCUCACAUCUUGUAAACAUGAA